GCCACAGCGCACGAAGUCUAUUGCAAAGACAAUGUGAGUAGUGGUUUGAAAGCACGAAUGGAAACCAACCAAAAAUGGAUGUUUAGCUAUUCAGACGCCAUCAUUACUUUACCGUAAGUGCCACGGCCUAUAACUUUUAAUAGUUCAAAAUCGUCUAGGCCAUAUGACUCUGUCCUUGUCGUUACUGCUGCUGCUGUAUUAUUCUUUGGGAUGGCUUUCGUCUGGUUCCCACAAAGCCUUGCGGUCGUCCUUGGUAUCAAAACUGUUGCAGUCGACGACAUAAUUUGUCUUGUUACAACAGUUUCGGUGCACGCACAUCCUACACUUGAUGCACUGUAACUCAGUUUGAUUUGAUUGAAAUAAUUUUUUUUUACAAGGAAAACAGAAGGCCUUUUUGCCGUACUUUGUUAAUUUACAUACUACAUGCUUAUUAACUCGAAUAUGACACUUCUUAUACUUAAAAAUAUCAUUUACUGCUGAGCAUAGCA
Molecule: long non-coding RNA, 488 nt
Organism: Cephus cinctus (wheat stem sawfly)
Lineage: Eukaryota; Metazoa; Arthropoda; Insecta; Hymenoptera; Cephidae
Exons: 3
Source: RefSeq, a predicted model, not a curated record